Molecule: transfer RNA, 80 nt
Filed under: Planctomycetales bacterium
Lineage: Bacteria; Pseudomonadati; Planctomycetota; Planctomycetia; Planctomycetales
Also listed under: 1 other name
Description: tRNA-Ser
Rfam family: tRNA
About the family: Transfer RNA (tRNA) molecules are approximately 80 nucleotides in length. Their secondary structure includes four short double-helical elements and three loops (D, anti-codon, and T loops).
Source: RNAcentral
GGAGGGUAACCGAAUGGUUAGGAAGCUGAUUCGAAAUCAGUCGCUGGCAACAGUUGCGGGUUCGACUCCCGUGCCCUCCG